AGAGUUUGAUCCUGGCUCAGGAUGAACGCUAGCGACAGGCUUAACACAUGCAAGUCGAGGGGCAGCGGGGGAGUGGCAAUACUCCCGCCGGCGACCGGCGCACGGGUGAGUAACACGUAUGGAACCUGCCCGCAGCAGGGGGAUAAGCGGAAGAAAUUCCGUCUAAUACCGCGUAACAAUUCCCGGAGGCAUCUCCGGGAAUUUAAAGGAGGCAACUCCGGCUGCGGAUGGCCAUGCGGCGCAUUAGCUUGUUGGCGGGGUAACGGCCCACCAAGGCGACGAUGCGUAGGGGUUCUGAGAGGAAGGUCCCCCACACUGGUACUGAGACACGGACCAGACUCCUACGGGAGGCAGCAGUGAGGAAUAUUGGUCAAUGGCCGAGAGGCUGAACCAGCCAAGUCGCGUGAGGGAUGACGGUCCUAUGGAUUGUAAACCUCUUUUGUCGGGGAGCAAAGGACGCCACGCGUGGUGUUUUGCGAGUACCCGAAGAAAAAGCAUCGGCUAACUCCGUGCCAGCAGCCGCGGUAAUACGGAGGAUGCGAGCGUUAUCCGGAUUUAUUGGGUUUAAAGGGUGCGCAGGCGGAAUGUCAAGUCAGCGGUAAAAUUUCGGGGCUCAACCCCGUCGUGCCGUUGAAACUGGCGUUCUUGAGUGAGCGAGAAGUAUGCGGAAUGCGUGGUGUAGCGGUGAAAUGCAUAGAUAUCACGCAGAACUCCGAUUGCGAAGGCAGCAUACCGGCGCUCAACUGACGCUCAUGCACGAAAGCGUGGGUAUCGAACAGGAUUAGAUACCCUGGUAGUCCACGCAGUAAACGAUGA
This 816-nucleotide ribosomal RNA is filed under the name uncultured bacterium. RNAcentral's name for it is "bacterial SSU rRNA". It matches the Rfam family "Bacterial small subunit ribosomal RNA", at positions 8 to 812 of the family's 1533-position model. The record is from RNAcentral.